UGGGAACGUGCCUUUUGGUUCGGAACAACCCAGGGAAACUUGGGCUAAUACCGGAUAAGCCCUUACGGGGAAAGAUUUAUCGCCAAAAGAUCGGCCCGCGUCUGAUUAGCUAGUUGGUGGGGUAAUGGCCUACCAAGGCGACGACGGGUAGCCGGCCUGAGAGGGCGACCGGCCACACUGGGACUGAGACACGGCCCAGACCUCCGUACGGGGAGGCAG
RNAcentral lists this ribosomal RNA (219 nucleotides) under uncultured bacterium. RNAcentral describes it as "partial 16S ribosomal RNA". It matches the Rfam family "Bacterial small subunit ribosomal RNA", at positions 118 to 351 of the family's 1533-position model. The record is from RNAcentral.